RNAcentral lists this ribosomal RNA (423 nucleotides) under uncultured bacterium. Its description in RNAcentral is "bacterial SSU rRNA". It matches the Rfam family "Bacterial small subunit ribosomal RNA", at positions 355 to 774 of the family's 1533-position model. The record is from RNAcentral.
UAGGGAAUAUUGGACAAUGGGGGGAACCCUGAUCCAGCCAUGCCGCGUGGAGGAAGACUGCCCUCUGGGUUGUAAACUCCUUUUAUAUGGGAAGAACCGUCCCCAUUGAUGAGUGACCUGACGGUACCAUAGGAAUAAGCACCGGCUAACUCCGUGCCAGCAGCCGCGGUAAUACGGAGGGUGCAAGCGUUAUCCGGAUUCACUGGGUUUAAAGGGUGCGUAGGCGGAUAUGUAAGUCAGUGGUGAAAUCAACGGGCUCAACCUGUUAACUGCCAUUGAUACUGUGUAUCUUGAAUAUGAGAGAGGUAGGCGGAAUGUUGCAUGUAGCGGUGAAAUGCUUAGAUAUGCUACGGAACACCGAUUGCGAAGGCAGCUUACUAUUUCGUAAUUGACGCUGAGGCACGAAAGCGUGGGUAGCGAACA